RNAcentral lists this ribosomal RNA (255 nucleotides) under uncultured bacterium. Its description in RNAcentral is "partial 16S ribosomal RNA". It matches the Rfam family "Bacterial small subunit ribosomal RNA", at positions 524 to 776 of the family's 1533-position model. The record is from RNAcentral.
UACAGAGGCCCCAAGCAUUAUCCGGAAUCACUGGGCGUAAAGGGUGUGUAGGCGGCGCUGUUAGUCUCUCGUAAAAGCUCUCGGACUCAAUCCGGGAAAUGCGGGGGAAACGGCAGUGCUAAGAGGACGCGAGAGGUAGAGGGAACUCAUGGUGUAGGGGUGAAAUCCGUUGAUAUCAUGGGGAACACCAAAUGCGAAGGCACUCUACUGGCGCGCUCCUGACGCUGAAACACGAAAGCGUGGGAAUCGAACGGG